Molecule: ribosomal RNA, 482 nt
Filed under: uncultured bacterium
Lineage: Bacteria
Description: partial 16S ribosomal RNA
Rfam family: Bacterial small subunit ribosomal RNA
Source: RNAcentral
AUUGAACGCUGGCGGCAUGCUUUACACAUGCAAGUCGAACGGUAACAGGCCGCAAGGUGCUGACGAGUGGCGAACGGGUGAGUAAUGCAUCGGAACGUGCCCAGUCGUGGGGGAUAACUACUCGAAAGAGUAGCUAAUACCGCAUCCGAUCUAUGGAUGAAAGCGGGGGACCGUAAGGCCUCGCGCGAUUGGAGCGGCCGAUGUCAGAUUAGGUAGUUGGUGGGGUAAAGGCCCACCAAGCCAACGAUCUGUAGCUGGUCUGAGAGGACAACCAGCCACACUGGGACUGAGACACGGCCCAGACUCCUACGGGAGGCAGCAGUGGGGAAUUUUGGACAAUGGGCGCAAGCCUGAUCCAGCAAUGCCGCGUGCAGGAAGAAGGCCUUCGGGUUGUAAACUGCUUUUGUACGGAACGAAACGGCUCUGGUUAAUACCCGGGGCUAAUGACGGUACCGUAAGAAUAAGCACCGGCUAACUACGUG